Molecule: ribosomal RNA, 429 nt
Filed under: Chloroflexota bacterium
Lineage: Bacteria; Bacillati; Chloroflexota
Description: Chloroflexi bacterium partial 16S ribosomal RNA
Rfam family: Bacterial small subunit ribosomal RNA
Source: RNAcentral
UGGGGAAUAUUGCACAAUGGGCGCAAGCCUGAUGCAGCCAUGCCGCGUGUAUGAAGAAGGCCUUCGGGUUGUAAAGUACUUUCAGUCGGGAGGAAGGUGGUAAGGUUAAUAACCUUAUCAAUUGACGUUACCGACAGAAGAAGCACCGGCUAACUCCGUGACAGCAGCCGCGGUAAUACGGAGGGUGCAAGCGUUAAUCGGAAUUACUGGGCGUAAAGCGCACGCAGGCGGUUGAUUGAGUCAGAUGUAAAAUCCCCGGGCUUAACCCGGGAAUUGCAUCUGAUACUGGUCAGCUAGAGUCUUGUAAAGGGGGGUAGAAUUCCAUUUGUAGCGGUGAAAUGCGUAGGGAUGUGGAGUAAUACCAGUGGCGAAGGCGUCCCCCUGGACAAAGACUGACACUCAGGUUCGAAAGCGUGGGGAGCAAACAGG